GAGCCAAACAGCUAGCUUAACCACCUAAAUACUCAAAACAACAUUAAAACACUUCACAAAUCAACAACCAAACUAAACCAAAACAUUUUCCCGCCCUAGUAUGUGAGACAAAAAAGG
Molecule: ribosomal RNA, 117 nt
Filed under: Trachelyopterus (Parauchenipterus) sp.
Lineage: Eukaryota; Metazoa; Chordata; Actinopteri; Siluriformes; Auchenipteridae
Description: partial 16S ribosomal RNA
Source: RNAcentral